CUACGGGGGGCUGCAGUGGGGAAUACUGCACAAUGGGCGCAAGCCUGAUGCAGCCAUGCCGCGUGUAUGAAGAAGGCCUUCGGGUUGUAAAGUACUUUCAGCGGGGAGGAAGGGAGUAAAGUUAAUACCUUUGCUCAUUGACGUUACCCGCAGAAGAAGCACCGGCUAACUCCGUGCCAGCAGCCGCGGUAAUACGGAGGGUGCAAGCGUUAAUCGGAAUUACUGGGCGUAAAGCGCACGCAAGCGGUUUGUUAAGUCAGAUGUGAAAUCCCCGGGCUCAACCUGGGAACUGCAUCUGAUACUGGCAAGCUUGAGUCUCGUAGAGGGGGGUAGAAUUCCAGGUGUAGCGGUGAAAUGCGUAGAGAUCUGGAGGAAUACCGGUGGCGAAGGCGGCCCCCUGAACGAAGACUGACGCUCAGGUGCGAAAGCGUGGGGAGCAAACAGGAUUAGAUACCCGGGUAGUC
RNAcentral lists this ribosomal RNA (464 nucleotides) under uncultured bacterium. RNAcentral describes it as "partial 16S ribosomal RNA". It matches the Rfam family "Bacterial small subunit ribosomal RNA", at positions 339 to 795 of the family's 1533-position model. The record is from RNAcentral.